AGUGUAAUUCGACACUACCAGACCAUUACCAGACCACGUGGUGAGAAGGAAGAGCAUUCCAGAACUGUGUAUCGUAGUGAGAGCAGACUGAGCAAGCAACUGAUCUACGGUUGUAUGAAAGAGUCGAAUGGACAAUGCAAAUCAUUAAAAAGUCCAUCAUGGCAAAGACAUCUGACAUUCAAGAAGAGACAAUCCUUUUUGUUUCUAGCAGUUCUGACGGUGACAAUACUGAUGAUUGACUGUUCUAAGGAAGGUCUACAGAGUUAAGAAGAUCUACAGAUUUGACAACCAAUGUAUAGCCAAUUUAACAAUACUCAAGGGUUCCCAGACAUAAUUAAGAAGAAAAGAGAAAUUGAU
Molecule: long non-coding RNA, 357 nt
Organism: Spea bombifrons (plains spadefoot toad)
Lineage: Eukaryota; Metazoa; Chordata; Amphibia; Anura; Pelobatidae
Exons: 2
Source: RefSeq, a predicted model, not a curated record